GGAAAGAUGGACACGUGGCACUCGGGCAGCACAUGGGGAGCAGGUGGCAGACUCAGCAGGGUGUGCAGAGACAGGGCAGAGAGGCAUCAGCUCCUGAUGUUUACAGAGGGCAAGCUGUUCCCUUCCCAGUCAAGGAAGGCUCCAGAGGUCUCCUGCGAGAGGCCAGCCAGCACACUCAGGAUGCCCCGCACACUCUGCUCCACUGUCAGCGGCGCCUGCAGAAGAGGACCAGGUGCAGUGUCCCUGCCACGGGCUGUGGCCAGCAUGGAAAGCAGCCAGGCUUGGCCAGGCUGGGGGAGCAGCACCCAGGGUGCUUGUGGGGGCAUUUUUCCUUACUGCCACCCCCCUCCUCUCUGUGCUGGGCAAGGUGGACAGGGCUGGCUAUCCCAUGCAUUUGGCACGUUGCAACUUGCUGCCUGUUCCCUGCCUGCUCUGCCCCAGGAGAUGGUCCCAGCAGCCCACAGCAUCACACAACAUCCCCUGCCCUCCCUGAGAGAUGGGGGUACAGCGGGGGACCUGCUGGCCCUCCUCUGCACAGCCCAGUACCUUCUCCGUCCCCAUGUCGGUUUUCACCCAGCCGGGAUGGAUGGCAGUGCACAAGAUGCCCUGGUCUCGGAGUUCUGCAGCCAUGCACCUUGUUACCAUGUUCUGGGCAGCCUGGAAGAGGCACCACUGUGCCAGCAUGACCCAGGGCAUGGGUGGGCAGGAUGGGGGACAUUUCCAAGCCAGAAAAUGGCUGUGAAGGUGGGAAAUGGGACUUUGCUCUGGGGUAAAGCAUCAACACAACCCA
This is a long non-coding RNA of Columba livia (rock pigeon), 790 nucleotides long. RefSeq lists it as uncharacterized. NCBI's taxonomy places the organism in Eukaryota, Metazoa, Chordata, Aves, Columbiformes, Columbidae. The transcript is spliced from 2 exons. The record is from RefSeq and is a predicted model, not a curated record.